Non-coding RNA from Ictidomys tridecemlineatus (thirteen-lined ground squirrel), 71 nucleotides. NCBI's taxonomy places the organism in Eukaryota, Metazoa, Chordata, Mammalia, Rodentia, Sciuridae. The record is from Rfam.
GAGGUUGUGUCUCAGUGGUAGAGUGCUUGCCUAAUACGCAUGAGGCACUGGGUUCGAUCCCCUGCACCACA